AACUUUCAACAACGGAUCACUUGGCUCUCGCAUCGAUGAAGAACGCAGCGAAAUGCGAUCAGUAAUGUGAAUUGCAGAAUUCAGUGAAUCAUCGAAUCUUUGAACGCACCUUGCGCCCCUUGGCUAUUCCGAGGGGCAUGCCUGUUUGAGUAUCAUGAAUACCUCAACUCUCAUGGUUUGCUGUCAUGAGCUUGGGCGCGGGGGGUGUUGCUUACGUCUGGUCAGAACCCCUGAAAUGAAUCAGCAGACCUGUCUUUGGUGGCAUGACGGGUGAGAUAAAUAUCUGUGCUCGCGGUUGUGUGCCAAGUAGCGUUAUGUGACAAAGGUUUGCUGGAGAUCACAGGUGUCUCUCCUCAACGAGGACAGCUUUUUGGACGUUCGAUCUCAAAGCAGGUAGGAAUCCGCGCUAAACUUAAGCAUAUCAAUAAGCAGAGGCA
RNAcentral lists this unclassified non-coding RNA (437 nucleotides) under uncultured Tomentella. RNAcentral's name for it is "sequence contains ITS2". The stretch from base 1 to 155 matches the Rfam family "5.8S ribosomal RNA". The record is from RNAcentral. Lineage: Eukaryota; Fungi; Basidiomycota; Agaricomycetes; Thelephorales; Thelephoraceae.